RNAcentral lists this ribosomal RNA (253 nucleotides) under uncultured bacterium. RNAcentral's name for it is "partial 16S ribosomal RNA". It matches the Rfam family "Bacterial small subunit ribosomal RNA", at positions 524 to 776 of the family's 1533-position model. The record is from RNAcentral.
UACGUAGGGUCCGAGCGUUGUCCGGAAUUAUUGGGCGUAAAGAGCUCGUAGGCGGUUUGUCGCGUCUGCUGUGAAAUCCCGAGGCUCAACCUCGGGUCUGCAGUGGGUACGGGCAGACUGGAGUGCGGUAGGGGAGAAUGGAAUUCCUGGUGUAGCGGUGGAAUGCGCAGAUAUCAGGAGGAACACCGAUAGCGAAGGCAGCUCGCUGGGACGGUACUGACGCUGAGGCGCGAAAGCGAGGGGAGCGAACAGG